This 253-nucleotide ribosomal RNA is filed under the name uncultured bacterium. RNAcentral's name for it is "partial 16S ribosomal RNA". It matches the Rfam family "Bacterial small subunit ribosomal RNA", at positions 524 to 776 of the family's 1533-position model. The record is from RNAcentral.
UACGUAGGGACCAAGCGUUGUCCGGAAUCAUUGGGCGUAAAGAGCGUGUAGGCGGCUUGUUAAGUCUUGCGUGAAAUCUCGGGGCUCAACCCCGAGCGGUCGUGAGAAACUGGCAGGCUAGAGUGCGGGAGAGGAGAGUGGAAUUCCUGGUGUAGCGGUGGAAUGCGCAGAUAUCAGGAGGAACACCGAUUGCGAAGGCAGCUCGCUGGGACGUAACUGACGCUGAGACGCGAAAGCGUGGGGAGCAAACAGG